GACGAACGCUGGCGGCGUGCUUAACACAUGCAAGUCGAACGGAAAGGCCCUGCUUUUGUGGGGUGCUCGAGUGGCGAACGGGUGAGUAACACGUGAGUAACCUGCCCUUGACUUUGGGAUAACUUCAGGAAACUGGGGCUAAUACCGGAUAGGAGCUCCUGCUGCAUGGGGGGGGUUGGAAAGUUUCGGCGGUUGGGGAUGGACUCGCGGCUUAUCGGCUUGUUGGUGGGGUAGUGGCUUACCAAGGCUUUGACGGGUAGCCGGCCUGAGAGGGUGACCGGCCACAUUGGGCUUGGGAUACGGCCCAGACUCCUACGGGAGGCAGCAGUGGGGAAUAUUGCACGAUGGGCGGAAGCCGGAUGCAGCAUCGCCGCGUGCGGGAUGUCGGCCUUCGGGUUGUAACCCGCUUUCGCCUGUGACGAAGCGUGAGUGACGGUAAUGGGUAAAGAAGCACCGGCUAACUACGUG
Molecule: ribosomal RNA, 468 nt
Filed under: uncultured bacterium
Lineage: Bacteria
Description: partial 16S ribosomal RNA
Rfam family: Bacterial small subunit ribosomal RNA
Source: RNAcentral